GAGACAAAGAGGCUGUACAACAAGCUGCGCUCGGUCGGCAUUAAGCCGGUUUUCCUCACCGGACGGACCGAGGACCAGAGGGCCAUCACCAUCACCAACCUCCGCCGCCAGGGGAUCUCCGGGUGGAUGAACUUGCUGCUGAAGCAGCCCGGCUUCAAGGGCUCUGCUGUGACCUACAAGUCCGGCGAGAGGCAAAAAUUGCAGGACGCCGGGUACAUCAUAGUCGGCAACAUCGGCGAUCAGUGGAGCGACAUCCUCGGCGCGCCCGAGGGCGCCCGUACCUUCAAGCUCCCCGACCCCAUGUACUACAUUGGCUAGGCCGGGCCGGUUGCUGCCACCUUUGAUUGCUCCUCGGUCCUGAUCCACGAUUGAAUAAACUCCNNNNNNNNNNNNNNNNNNNNNNNNNNNNNNNNNNNNNNNNNNNNNNNNNNNNNNNNNNNNNNNNNNNNNNNNNNNNNNNNNNNNNNNNNNNNNNNNNNNNNNNNNNNNNNNNNNNNNNNNNNNNNNNNNNNNNNNNNNNNNNNNNNNNNNNNNNNNNNNNNNNNNNNNNNNNNNNNNNNNNNNNNNNNNNNNNNNNNNNNNNNNNNNNNNNNNNNNNNNNNNNNNNNNNNNNNNNNNNNNNNNNNNNNNNNNNNNNNNNNNNNNNNNNAUCAAUUAUUAUGUACCCCUCCACUAAUGGGCCAAUUUUGACCCGUUGGAGGAAGGGAUCGUAAUUGGCGGACCACCAAACAACGGUCGGGAGAGUCAACCAAGUGCCCACAUAGAGGAACGAGAAGUUGUGCCCACUGAUAGUGUACAAGUGACGAUUACGAAAUUGUUCUUGUGGCUUGCAUGUUGUGUGCAUAUGUAUUGUAUGUAACUUUCCAAUAAAGUUCAGAGCUGGAUUAGAGACUGGCUUGGUCCCUUUGGACACCAAACCCUGGAGUGUGGACACCUCGGUCAAGGAAUGUUGGUCUAAACAGGUGUCCAACAAGAAUCAUAAGAGGAAGGCUAUGGAAACCCUAACUAUGCUAGUUAAUUCGACAAUUUGGAAUAAAACAAAUGUGCAUCUCUUCCAAGGUAUUUCGACCAUGGCAAGCAUCAUCCUUGGACACAUUAGAAGUGAGGUGGCAACAUGGAUCAAAGCUCGGGGCAAAGGAUUUGGGAAACAUUGUGCCGGAAGAGUAGCCCCGUUCUAUUAUUUUAGCCUUUCAUUGUUAGCUAUCUUUUUUCGAUUGAUGUUGUUCUAGAUCUCUCUUAAUUAAUGGGACAAGACAAAUAGUUUGCCUCUGUUUUACAAAAAGGUCCGUAGCUUGCAAAGUUUUAACAUCCAUUUACAUCACCUACUCCAGAGAGAGCGUCUGCUACCAUCUUCUCUCGGACUUUUUUGUACGACGUGAUUAGUGUCAUAAAAUGGAGUGUUUUAGCGUCUAACAUCAGCUCUAAAAGACAUAACACUUAGCUUAAAAAAAAGACAUAACACUUAAAGUUAGAUCGCAAAAAAAACAUACACUUGCAUGUUUUUUGCACUUUAAUGCAACAAUAAAAAACUCAAGGUGAUAUUAUGAUAGACUUUGAACAAUAGAGAAACUCAAUGAAACAUUAUACAAAACUUCAAAAUAAGACUGUUUUUGUGAACAACCAAAAAAAAAAUGUAAUCGUCAGUUAGACUGAUAAUACUUUUAUAUGCUUCUCCACAACAAAAAGCUAUGUAUGAAGAUGUUAAUUAGAAGUCAGAAUAUCUUGUGCAUGGUUGCAUGCUACACCACUAUUCCUUGGAUUAACUAGUUGGGCAUAACGUCCUCCUAUUUUGCGAACCAGCAUGUGAUAAACAAGCUAAUACGAUUUAAAGUAAUCAUACCUCGUCCUAAGAAACUAAAAGUGAAUCUACAAUGGGCGGCUAGAAAAAGAAACAUAAAAGUAGACAAGCGCGUCUGGAAAAAGAAAAAACGAACAACUUAUCACUUAAUAGGGCAUCUAACUAAUCGAGUGGUGCGAAUAACUUUGUUUGGCCACAAUUAUGACAAAGUGAACCUUUUGUUGAAAGACCGAACUCUGCAAUAAAGCUGCAAUGGUAGGCCUAUUUUUAUCAAGGAAUCCACAAUGCUGAGCUGCUGCACACAGUGCAUUCUCACUCACGCAUCACAAAUAGUGGGUCAGUUAUUAAAAAAAUGAAAAGGAGGGUGAGUGAGGCGCACAAAAAAUAGAUACUAUUAGUACUCCAAAAUAGUGGAGUACCAAAGUGAUAGGCCUCUUUGAAUAAGAGGAUUCUCAUAAUUUUUUUCGUGCAUUGAUUAUUUGAUUCGUAAGAGAGAAUCCUAUAGGAAAUGUUUUCCAAGGAUUCGCUUGUACUGCAUUUCAUUUUUUGUGGAUUUUUUAUCUAUCUAUCAAUCAUGACAGUAAAAUGAAUAUAAUAGAAAUAAUAAAAAUUACACUUAGAUCUGUAGACCACCUAGCGAUGACUAUAAACACUGAAGCGAGCCGAGGGUGCCGCCGUCAUCGCCCCUCAUUCACAGAAGCUGGGCAAAAGUUGUGGUAGUAGACGGAAGUGAUCUGCAUGGCACGUAUGCAUGCUAUAAUUAACUGAAUUAUUGGACCAUCAAGAUCGGAUCACAUCGGUCCUAUCCGCGUCGAUGACACUCUCUCCUCCUAUCCCCAACGACUCGCUCGCAUCCCACGCUCUGAAAGCGACCCCUAGGUAUCAUUAUCAAAUGCAUGACACCAACCCCUCCCUCUUUCGAUUUGUCAGUUAAAUUACCUUUAGCCCACACUCACGCACACACCGUGUUAGGAUUGACCGAUGCAGCUUCCCUUCCCUACCUAUUUAACGAGCUAGCCAUCCCACACUCUUUGCACCUCAGUUCAGCAAGCAGCAUCACACACACAUACUAGAAAUGGCAAAGGCCAGGACAACGACGACGACGCUCCUCCUCGUCGCCGCGGCUCUCCUCGUGGCCUCCUGCAGCGCGUGGGAGGUCAACAUCCGCAUGCCGACCUCGGCCGCGGACGUGGACGAGGCCGUGGUGGCGCCGCUGAUCCAUGCGCUGCGGCCGCUGCUGGGCUCCGGCAAGCACGCCGGAGUGGCGUGCGACAGCUGGGUGCUGGGCGUGGAGGCGCACAACGUGCGGGACUGGAAGACCGUGCCCGCCAGCUGCGAGAGCUACGUCGGCCACUACAUGCUCGGCAGCCACUUCCGCCGUGACUCCAAGAUCGUCAUCGACCAGGCCCUCGCCUACGUCGACUCCCUCAAGCUCGCCGGCAACGGCAAGGAGGUGUGGGUCUUCGACAUCGACGAGACAACCCUCUCCAACCUCCCUUACUACGCCAAGCACGGCUUCGGGUACGUACUCGAUUGUAUACAUACACACUACUGAUGCUAUGCGUAGUGCAUUAUACUUGCUAUCUAUUGCAGGUGCAUCUGAGCAGGGACUUGCACUCAUCUUUUCAUUCAAAUAAACUAAAAAUCUGACUAGGCAUCGUUAAUUAAAAUCAACUGACUAGCUAGAUAAACGAUGUGGCAUCGUAAGAUCUGUAAUGAAUGAAAAUGGAAAAACAAGGGAGACUAAAAGUGGAAAUGUAGAAAUGUAUUACUUGGACGUGUUGGACACUUGGACAUCAUCACUUCUGGUCACCUCGAAUUAAUCACAGUCACAGAGACAGCCAGCAGGACCAUAUAUAUGUCCCUCGUAUCAGUGAUCGACAAAUUAAAACAAGAGGGAAACAUACUAUACUAGUACUACAGUUAGAUAUAGAGAUGUGUGCUGUGAUGUGCAUGUGUAUGUGGUGGCCGGAGUAGGACCUUAUCUGUUGUCCACUUGGCUAGCUACUUUAUCGGACGGUUUCUUUUUCAAGCAUCCUUAUCAACCCAUACUUUCUAACUAUGUUAUGCUUAAUUUAGUUUAGAUGGAUAAUACUUAUUUUAUAAGAUGUAAGAAGUCAGAACAUCUCCUGCAUAUUUACAUAUGCUGCAACACUAUUCCUGUUUUUUUUUUGUUGAGUUGGAACACUAUAUUUCCGUGGUUAAGAAGAUUCUCUUGAAACAAAAUGGAAAUUAACUUGAAACUUAGUAGAAGCCAAGAUCAUAUCUAGCCAAGUUGAUGCGAAAGGUUUAGUUCAAAACUAUGAUUAAGUAGUUGUGUGUAGUAUAACUACCUUGUAUAUAUUUUUAAUAUGAUGAAUGAGCUAGUGCAUCGCGAUUUUAAAGUAAAUCAUACCUUUCCUUAAGAAAUUUUAAAGCCGAUCUACACUGAACGGCUAGAAAAAGUAAACAUAAAAGCAUACAAGCGCGUCUGAGAAAAGUAGGAUGAACAGCUCAUCACAACAUAUAUUUAACUAAUCAAGGGGUUAGAGUAACUUUGCCUCGCCACAAUCAUGACAAAGCUAACCAUUUUUGUUGAAAGCCGAAACUUUGCAAUAACGUUGCAAACGGUAGACCUAAUUUAUCAAAGGAAUCAACAAAGCUGUGCUGCUGCAUACAAAGCUGUGCACGAUGAGAUUAAAUACCACAACUAGUGAUUAUGUUUGGCGUUCGUUCUUGGUCCAACAAAACAGUGGCGGGAUGAUGCUGGAGUAGGACCUCGCCGUGUCAUACAUUGAUUUAUACGCUCCACAUGGCCAACUUAAUUGAUCAUCAGUCUCGUUAGUCCACAACUACGUACUGCUCAUGCACAUGCCAUACGUACAGACGCAGAGCAUUGGGUUUAGUUACCGCUCAUCCACUUCGGCCGUUUGGCCACUUGGAUCACAAUCUAGGUCACAUACUAUGUUUCUUCGGGGGAUUCUAAAAAAAUAUAUGUUUCGGUAUGCAUAAUUGCUAGCAGCUGAUGUACUUGAAUCUGCCAUUAAUAUAUCUUCAUACACAUGUGAGUGCAGGGCUACACCGUUCAACGCGACGAGCUUCAACGCAUACGUGCGGGAGGGGAGCGCGCCCGCGCUGCCGGAGACGAAGCGGUUGUACAACAAGCUGCGCUCGGUCGGUAUCAAGCCAGUGUUCCUCACCGGCCGGACCGAGGACCAGAGGGCCAUCACCGUCACCAACCUCCGCCGCCAGGGCAUCUCCGGGUGGAUGAACCUGCUGUUGAAGCAACCCGGCUUCAAGGGCUCCGCGGUGACCUACAAGUCCGGUGAGAGGCAGAAGCUGCAGGACGCCGGGUACGUCAUCGUCGGCAAUAUCGGCGACCAGUGGAGUGACAUCCUCGGCGCGCCUGAGCGGGCCCGCACUUUCAAGCUGCCAGACCCCAUGUACUACAUCGGCUAGGCUGCCUCCGACUCAGGCAUGCCGCCAUUGAUUUCUCGAUCGAAUAAGCUCCAUGCUCUUAGUUAUAUUCAUGUUUAGCCAAUAAACCCUCCCCAAUUGUUGCUUCGUUCAUUUCCAUUGUUGAGAACUUGAGAUUAGUUGCUAUUAUGAAUGUGUUCAUGUAGAAGUUGCAUGUUGUUUAAUCAAUGGAUCGAUCCACACUAGUAGAAAAAGGGCCUACAGUCCCGGUUGGUGAGGGCCUUUAGUCCCGGUUCAUGAACCAGGACUAAAUGGUCGGUACUAAUGCCCUGACCCUUUAGUCCCGGUUCAAUCCAGAACCGGGACAGAUGGGCCUCCACGUGGCCUGUCCGCUGAGCCCAGGCAGGAGGGCCUUUGGUCCCGGUUGGUGGCACCAACCGGGACCAAUAGGCAUCCACGUGUCAGCAUUUCUGUGGCUGGGGUUUUUGUUUUUUUUUUAAAAGGGGGGGGGCGGUUGGGGGGUUUUGGGGGGUUAAUUUAGGUGUUUCAUAUAUUGUGCUAUAGCUAGCUAAUUAAUAGAGAGAAGUGUCCUCUCUUUUGUCUGUGCUUGGUCGACGCUACGUACCAUACAUACGUAUAGAGAGGACUAGCUAGACACGCUAGCUAGCUAGUAAGCAAACAGAAGAUCGUCAUGAACAUAUAUGCAUACGGAGAGAAGUGAUAUCGACCACCUCUCCUUCUCCGAGAGAUUGGUCGAACAACAAGUUCUCGCAUAUCUAUCCGACACUACCGGCUACAUAUAUACAAUAAUUAUCUUUUACAAAUAUAUAAUCUCCUAAAAUACGGACGCGUGGUCCACAUAGUAUUCUCCGUCUUCAGCGAUCAGGUGGUCAAGAAAGAAUGCCGCCAAUUCCUCUUGAAUUGCUCGCAUGCGAUCUGGUGCUAGGAGUUCAUCCCGCAUCCGAAACAUCUAAUUUUAAGAAGGGGGUCAAUACAUAUAUAUAUAUAUAUGAAUGAAUGAAACUCAACACAAAUGAUGGUAAUAAAAUAAAAUUGUGAAUAUUGUUAUUUACGCACUUCAUAUUGUUUGUCGGAGUAGCCCCGCUCACAAGUCGUGUGGCGGAUGGACUCGCAAAUGUAGUAUCCACAGAAAUCAUUCCCUUGUUCCUGCCACAACCACUUUACAAGAAAUAGAGGUCAAUCAAACUGAUAAUUAGCAAGCAUGCUAAAUGGUAUUGAUGAAACUAGCGCUUGAAUCACUAGGAGAUGCCUGGAAUAUGCUACUAUAUAGUACUUACUUUCGGGUGCCUAAAUUGCCGCUUCUUCGGUAGUCCCGGAGUUUUUUUGGUGAAUUUUCUCCAAGCCCUGCCAUACAAAGAAAACAAUUACUUGAUAUCAGAAAUGAACAAAGUUGCUGAUAUGGUGGAUAAUGAUCGAUUUAACUUACUUCUCGAGCAUUUCAGUCAUGUCCGCAUACUCCUUGGGAUCUUUUCGCUUGGAGUCUAAGACAGUUACUACUCCCUUCUCAAGCUUAAUCUCUAGGAGAAUAUAAUGGUAGCUGCGCACACAUGCAUAACUCAUCAAUAUUACAUUACUAUAACCUGGACUAAUAAGGAAACCGAAUAUGCCACAAGACAGUAACACUCACUUGAAGUUGUAAGGAAAGAGUAUUAUAUCUUUGUGUUCAUUUAUUUCCAACGAUCGUAGCAAGUUGGCCUCGGUUUCUUGGGCACGAUAUUGAACCUCAGUUGCAUCUAUGAGAUACGUGUUAAUGAACCCAAUAUCUCCCACUUGUCUUUUCUUCAAUUCGGCGAUCUUCAAUCUGCAUAAUAUAGUGAGGAUAAUUAUAAAUACAUGCAAAUGAAAGGGCUGAGUUAUAUAGAGAGACUUAAUGACGGAAGUAGUACUACUUACAGACAGUAGGAGGUGACCGUUGCUUUAUCGAUGGCCAAUUGAUUGAAAAACUGACAGAACUCCUUAAAUGGAAUAGGCAACAGUUCAAUUCCAAGGAGGUCAUGCUCCUUUUUAACUCUCACAUACAAAGUACUCCUCCCCUCAGACUCUUUGCAGGUUUUCAUGUACCAAUCAUGCAAUCUUCGCAUCAUCGUUGAUAGAGAACUUUCAUCUUUGACGAGAGGCUUCCCGUACUCGUAUCUUUGUAUCUGCACCUCCAAGAUAUCAUAAUGUACAUCAUCGGGUAGGUAAUCUGCAGGAUUGCCAUAACCGGGCACCAUCCUCGGAUCGACGAUGUCGCUAGCAGGCACCUUGAGCGGGGGACACGAUUGCUUCGCUUGUUCGCCGAGCUGGGCAAUUUGUUUCCCAACUCGUCGUUCUUUCAUCCUUUGAUCACUUUUAGUACUUCCCGACCUCUCCGCUUCGGCAAAUGCCUUUCCAAUAAUGCGCUCAUAGUUGCCUUUCGGCGGAGACUUGGGUGGUUUUGUCAGGGCAGCCAGAGUGCGCUUCGCUUUCACCGGAUCUACCUUCUCCUCCGGAGGUGGAUGUCUCUUUGCUUUCAACCCUUGAAACCAGUCAUCCACUUCGGUCUGCGCGAUCUUCGCGUUUUCCUCCUCGCUCCUCUCGUACGGUAACUUCUCUGGAGUCUUCAGAGAAGGACCAAAUCUGUAUCUCCUCCCGCCUUUGUCUGUACUGCUAGACGCCGGCAGAGUAGACGGAGCGGAUGUCUUCUUUCCUUGCUUACGAGGCGGAGGAGAAGGACUGCGACACGCCGGAGCAGCUGGAGCGGCGGCGGGUCUCUUUCGCCCUUGCUGACGAGGCGGAGAAGGAGGAGGCUGGCUGCUCGGGCGCGCCGGCGCAGGAGGAGAAGGAGGCGGAGUGCCACCACGCGCCGGAGAAGGAGCCGGCCGAGUGCCCUGAUCGUCACUCGCCGGAGGAGGAGGCGGUGGAGGAGGCGGAGUGCCCUGACUCGCCGGAGGAGGAGGAGGAGGCGGAGGCGUCCAGUUCGGAAGGUUGAUGAGAUCCUUCCGCCAUAGGCAUGGAGUCUUCAGAGCAGAACCCAGCCGAUACUCCCCUUCACCGGUAGGGUGGUCAAGCCGGAGGUCCUCAAAUCCCUCCGUUAUUUCAUCGACCAUCACCUUAGCAUAUCCUUCUGGAAUCGGCCGGCAGUGAAAAGUUGAGUCGGGUUUAGUAGGAUAAACAGAGCCAACAGCCGCCUUGACCUUCAAAUUGCUCCAUUGCGCCAUAAGGUGGCAAUUUUCAGCAUCCGUGAUAGCAUCCACGGGAUAGCUGGCAGGAGCCGUCAAGGCAUGCUCUGGCUGAAGCAGCUCGGUGGAAGCCACGCUGCUUCUCCGCUGAGAUGGCGGGGUAGCUUCGGGGAAGCUUCGGCAGGUCGUUUGCUGCGAUCUGCUUCUCGUUCCUCUAGCCCCAUUACCCUUUCGUGCAGCGCCUGCAGUUGGCUCUGCUCCAGUUUCUUCCCCCUCUCCUGGGUUUUGUAACCCGCUGCGUCCGGAAAUCCAGCCUUCCAAGAAACGGAGCCUGGCGUGCCUCGUGUCCGUCCAGGGUGCUCAGGAUUGUCGAGGGCCAUUGUGAGCUCGUCCUUCUCCCUGUCUGGAACGAAUGUUCCUUGCUGCGCUGCUUCGAUAUAUUGCUGAAGCCUCUUGACUGGUAUGUCCAAUUGUUCGUCCGUCCAAAUGCACUUCCCUGUUAUAGGGUCCAAGGAUCCGCCGGCCCCAAAGAAUCAAGUCCGGCAACGUUCUGGACAGUUCAUUGUCUCUGGUUCGAUCCCUUUAUCAAGUAGAUCAUUCUCAGCCUUGGCCCACUUAGGCCGGGCUACGAGGUAGCCACCUGACCCCGUGCGAUGGUGAAGCUUCUUCUUCUCAGCAUUUCUCUUGUUUGUCGCCGACAUCUUUUUACUCUUUUCCGAUGUCUUGUGGGCCACAAAUGCGGGCCAGUCAUCUCUGAUCUUCUCAUAUUUGCCAAUGAAUUCUGGUGUCUCAUUUUUUUCGACAUACCUAUUGAGGUCUUUCUUCCAAUUCCUGAAUAGGUCUGCCAUCUUCCUCAGAGCAAAAGACUUGAUUAAUGGCUCUAUAACUGGCUUCUCCGGAUCAUCCUCCGGCGGUAGGGUGAAAUUUGACUUCAGCUCAGUCCAAAGAUUCUUUUUCUGCAUCUCAUGGACAUAAGACACCUUAGGGUCUUCGUUCUUAGGCUUAUACCAUUGCUGGAUGCUGAUCGGGAUCUUGUCCCUAACCAGAACCCCGCACUGAGCAACAAAUGCCUUCUUUGUCCGGUAGGGUUCAAUCGGUUGGCCGUCGCGCGCGAUUUGUAUGAUCUCAAACUUUUCAUCCGAGCUCAACUUUUUCUUCGGGCCUCGUCUCUUUACCGAAGUUGUGCUCGAUCCGGAGAGCUAGAAAAAAGAACAAAGACGAGAGUUAAUUAACAUGUGUACAUACCAAAACAAUGAAUGCAUCAAUUAGCUAGUCAGCACAGGCUUAACUAAUAUAUAUACCUGGCCGGACUCGGUUUGGUGAUCACCGGAGCCAUCCUCACGGUCUACUUCUUCACCCUCUCCUUCUUGCACCGGCAUUGGGUCAUUGGAGCCAUGUAAAUCAUAGCCAGCUGCUUCUUCACCCUCUCCUUCCAGACCAUCGUUGUCGUUGAGAAACAUCAACGAGGAGACGGCAUCACUUCCUUGUGCGAUUAUGUCCCUCAACAACGCUUCUUGUGCUUCGUCUCGGGGGGUGUCCAUAGUUUCUACAAAUAUUUACAACAUGGCAAUUAUUAUUCAAACAUGACAGAUAUGGAUAUAUCAGUGGCAAACGUAGAACUAGCUAGCUAAUCACAAUAAGAAAUCAUAUUAUUGGCCUCGACGCUGCUUCUCUAGGGUUUGGGGUGGCCUCGACAAUGCUUCAAGGGUUAGGGGGCGGCCUCGAGAACGCUUCAAGCUAGGAGGGGGUAAUAUCGACCCCCCCCCCCCACGUGUUGAAGCUAUCGGGAGGGGGUCAGCGUUGAACACUACAUCUAUGUCCCACAAGUGACGUGGGCAUCAACGCCCGCGGUAGGGUAGAGGGUCGUGGAUCGCCGAGCGGUCAAGGGUCAAUGGGUCGAGGAUCGCCGAGGGGUCGGGAGGUUGCCUAGUGUCAAAGGAUUCAACAAAACCAUGUCUUCAUCAUUAGGCGAAAGUAACAGGUGCAUGAUGGUACGAUGCUCUCCAAAGUUAUUUUGGAACGGAGUCCCAGAUAGGAUAAUUCGCUUUUUGGUACAAAGUUCAGCAAGAACCUUCCAAAUAUCGUUAUUUGGAAGGCCUUUGCUGAAAUUCGUACAAAAAGGCAAAUUAUCCUAUACGGGACUCCAUUCCAGAAUAACUUUGGAGGACUUCGUACCAUCAUGCCAUGGUUACUUCCGGCUAAUGAUGAAGCCAUGGAUUUCUUCAAUACUUUGACACUAUAGGAACCCUCUCGACCCCUCGGCGAUCCUCGACCCCUUGAACCCUCGAUGACCCUGGAACCCUCGACUCCUAGACGAUCCUGGAACCCACGAUCCCUCGACCCUAGAACCCUCGACCCGGGAUAAUAUCGACAACACUUCAAGGGGGUAAUACCGACAACGACGAGAUACAUACACGGGAGAAAUUAAUGUUAUCGGGGAGGGGGUAUAUCGACCCCCCCACGUAUUGAAGUUAUCGGGAGGGGGUAUAUGGACCCCCCCCUCAUGUUGAAGUUAUCGGGAGGCGUAUAUCGACGAUGACAGAGGAGAAGAUCGAAGAAAAAAAAGAAGAAAAAAAAGAGGAGAAGAAGAAAGGAAUAGAGGAGAAGAAGAAAAAAUAGAAUAUUUUCUAUUUUUUCUUCUUCUCCUCUAUUUCUUUCUUCUUCUCCUCUUCUUUUUCUUCUUUUUUCCUCUUCUUAUUUAUUUCUCCUCUUCUUCCUCUCCUCUUCUUCUCCUUUCUUCCUCUUCUUAUUUUCCUUUUUCCUCUCCUUCUUUUUCUUCUUCUUCCUUCUUUCUAGCUAGAUAUAUAAAACUUUUCUAAAAAUGUAACUUUUGCAUAUAUAAAACUUUUUNNNNNNNNNNNNNNNNNNNNNNNNNNNNNNNNNNNNNNNNNNNNNNNNNNNNNNNNNNNNNNNNNNNNNNNNNNNNNNNNNNNNNNNNNNNNNNNNNNNNNNNNNNNNNNNNNNNNNNNNNNNNNNNNNNNNNNNNNNNNNNNNNNNNNNNNNNNNNNNNNNNNNNNNNNNNNNNNNNNNNNNNNNNNNNNNNNNNNNNNNNNNNNNNNNNNNNNNNNNNNNNNNNNNNNNNNNNNNNNNNNNNNNNNNNNNNNNNNNNNNNNNNNNNNNNNNNNNNNNNNNNNNNNNNNNNNNNNNNNNNNNNNNNNNNNNNNNNNNNNNNNNNNNNNNNNNNNNNNNNNNNNNNNNNNNNNNNNNNNNNNNNNNNNNNNNNNNNNNNNNNNNNNNNNNNNNNNNNNNNNNNNNNNNNNNNNNNNNNNNNNNNNNNNNNNNNNNNNNNNNNNNNNNNNNNNNNNNNNNNNNNNNNNNNNNNNNNNNNNNNNNNNNNNNNNNNNNNNNNNNNNNNNNNNNNNNNNNNNNNNNNNNNNNGGGAAACUGGCGAGGGAAAUCUGAAAUUUCCCAAGUGUUUUCUUAUAUAGCAAGGGCAUUCGUCCCGGUUCGUGCACCAACCGGGACUAAAGGGGGGCAUUAGUCCCGGGUAGUGGCACCAACCGGGACUAACGCACCCCUUUAGUCCCGGUUGGUGCCACCAACCGGGACCAAAGGCCUGUGCUGCCCCGAACCUAAUAUUUAGUCCCACCUUGCUAGUUGAGAGGGAGGCACACCUGUUUAUAAGGUGCGGUGCGCCUUUCCUCUCGAGCUCCUCUCUUAAGCAGGCUUUCGGGCUUAACCCUGCAAUCUGCGCCUGUGGGCCUGUUGGGCCUCCUGCGGGCCUGGAUCCUGGCCCAUGGUAGGGUCUCUAGUCGUAUUCAGGCCGUGGGGGCCCAGUAGGUGGCACUUUUUUCCUGUUUUUUGUUUUGUUUUCUGCAUUAUUUAUUUUCUUUUGUUUUUUUCUUUAUUUUUUAAUUCUUUUUGCUUUUAGUUUUAGAAAAAUUAUAAACUUUCUGUUAGUGCCAUUAGUUUUCAAAUUUGAAAACACUUUUUUUGUUUUCUUUGUUGCUUUAUUCAUUUUAUUUUGUUUCUACUUACAACAAAAUACUUAUUGUUGCUAUUUUUAUUUUUUUUCCAGUUUUUUUUGUUUUGUUUUCUACAUUAUUUAUUUUCUUUUGUUUUUUGCUUUNNNNNNNNNNNNNNNNNNNNNNNNNNNNNNNNNNNNNNNNNNNNNNNNNNNNNNNNNNNNNNNNNNNNNNNNNNNNNNNNNGUGCCAUUAGUUUUCAAAUUUGAAAACACUUUUUUUGUUUUCUUUGUUGCUUUAUUCAUUUUAUUUUGUUUCUACUUACAAUAAAAUACUUAUUGUUGCUAUUUUUAUUUUUUUCCAGUUUUUUGUUUUGUUUUCUGCAUUAAUUAUUUUCUUUUGGUUUUUUGCUUUAUUUUUUAAUUCUUUUUGCUUUUAGGUCAGCAAAAUUAUAAACUUUCUGUUUGUGCCAUUAGUUUUCUUUGAAAUUUGUGUGAAUCACAAGUUUGUGAGCUCAACAAGGCGUGUAGAGGGAUGGGCUUAUAAACCGGUGUGAGCGCCCUUCGGUUGGCGAGGUUUUCAAAUUCAUAGUUUUCAAAUGAACUCUGAAAAAGUUGGCAUAGCAUGUGCAUGUACAAAACAGACAAUGGUAUCAUACUCGUCUGUUACAAAGUUGGCAUGGUAUCAUCAUAUAUAAUAGUUGCGGGAGAAAGUCUUCACUUUUUCUUCGCUUGUGUCGUUUGCUUAUUGCGCCGUAACCAUGGAUAAUCUUCAUCGUUUAUCAGGAUGCUUGGGUCAGCCUUGACUUUGAAGGGGGGAAUUUCAUGAAACUUUUCAUACUCUUCAGACAUGUCUGUCUUGCCCUCCACUCCCAGGAUGUCCCUUUUUCCUGAAAGAACUAUGUGGCGCUUUGGCUCAUUGUAUGAUGUAUUCGCUUCCUUAUCUUUUCUUUUCCUCGGUCUGGUAGACAUGUCCUUCACAUAGAUAACCUGUGCCACAUCAUUGGCUAGGACGAACGGUUUGUCAGUGUACCCAAGAUUUUUCAGAUCCACUGUUGUCAUUCCGUACUGUGGGUCUACCUGUACCCCGCCUCCUGACAGAUUGACCCACUUGCACUUAAACAAAGGGACCUUAAAAUCUACUCCGUAGUCAAGUUCCCAUAUGUCUACUAUGUAACCAUAAUAUGUGUCAUUUCCAUUGUCGGUUGCUGCAUCAAAGCGGACACUGUUGUUUUGGUUGGUGCUCUUUUCAUCUUGGUCAAUCGUGUAAAAUGUAUUCCCAUUUAUCUCGUAUCCUUUCCAAAUCAUUACAGUCGAAGAUGGUCCCCUGGACAACAAGUACAGCUCAUCACAAACAGUGUUGUCACCUCUGAGACGUGUUUCCAACCAAAUGCUGAAAGUCCUGAUGUGUUCACAUGUAAUCCAGUCGUCGCACUGCUCCGGGUGUUUGAAGCGCAGACUGUUCUUGUGUUCAUCGACAUACGGGAUCACCAAGGUAGAGUUUUGUAGAACUGUGUAGUGUGCUUGAGACCAAGAAUAUCCGUCCCUGCAUAUUAUUGAGUCCCUUCCAAGCGUGCCUUUUCCAGUCAGUCUCCCCUCAUACCGCGAUUUAGGGAGACCUAUCUUCUUAAGGCCAGGAAUGAAGUCAACACAAAACCCGAUGACAUCCUCUGUUUGAUGGCCCAUGGAGAUGCUUCCUUCUGGCCUAGCGCGGUUACGAACAUAUUUCUUUAGGACUCCCAUGAACCUCUCAAAAGGGUACAUAUUGUGUAGAAAUACGGGUCCCAGAAUGACAAUCUCGUCGACUAGAUGAACUAGGACGUGCGUCAUGAUAUUGAAGAAGGAUGGUGGGAACACCAGCUCGAAACUGACAAGACAUUGCGCCACAUCACUCCUUAGCGUUGGUACGAUUUCUGGAUCGAUCACCUUCUGAGAUAUUGCAUUGAGGAAUGCACAUAGCUUCACAAUGGCUAAUCGGACGUUUUCCGGUAGAAGCCCCCUCAAUGCAACCGGAAGCAGCUGCGUCAUAAUCACGUGGCAGUCAUGAGACUUUAGGUUCUGGAACUUUUUUUCUGGCAUAUUUAUUAUUCCCUUUAUAUUCGACGAGAAGCCAGUCGGGACCUUCAUACUGAGCAGGCAUUGAAAGAAUAUUUCUUUCUCUUCUUUCGUAAGAGCGUAGCUGGCAGGACCUUCAUACUGCUUCGGAGGCAUGCCCUCUUUUUUGUGCAAGCAUUGCAGGUCCUCUCGUGCCUCAGAUGUAUCUUUUGUCUUCCCAUACACGCCCAAGAAGCCUAGCAGGUUCACGCAAAGGUUCUUCGUCACGUGCAUCACGUCGAUCGAAGAGCGGACCUCUAGGUCUUUCCAGUAGGGUAGGUCCCAAAAUAUAGAUUUCUUCUUCCACAUGGGUGCGUGAUUCUCAGCGUCAUUCGGAACAGCUAGUCCGCCGGGACCCUUUCCAAAGAUUACGUGUAAAUCAUUGACCAUAGCAAGUACGUGAUCACCGGUACGCAUGGCGGGCUUCUUCCGGUGAUCUGCCUCGCCUUUGAAAUGCUUGCCUUUCUUUCGACAUUGAUGGUUGGUCGGAAGAAAUCGACGAUGGCCCAGGUACACAUUCUUCCUGCAGCUUCCCAGGUAUAUACUAUCGGUGUCAAGUAAACAGUGCGUGCAUGCGUGGUAUCCCUUGUUUGUCUAUCCUGAAAGGUUACUGAGAGCGGGCCAAUCGUUGAUGGUCACGAACAGCAACGCCUUUAGGUCAAAUUCCUCCUUUUUGUGCUCAUCCCACGUACGUACACCGUUUCCAUUCCACAGCUGUAAAAGUUCUUCAACUAAUGGCCUUAGGUACACAUCAAUGUCGUUGCCGGGUUGCUUAGGGCCUUGGAUGAGAACUGGCAUCAUAAUGAACUUCCGCUUCAUGCACAUCCAAGGAGGAAGGUUAUACAUACAUAGAGUCAUGGGCCAGGUGCUGUGAUUGCUGCUCUGCUCCCCGAAAGGAUUAAUGCCAUCCGCGUUAAAGCAAACCAUACGUUCCUUGGGUCCUUUGCAAACUCAUCCCAGUACUUUUUCUCAAUUUUUCUCCACUGCGACCCGUCAGCGGGUGCUCUCAACUUCCCGUCUUUCUUACGGUCCUCACUGUGCCAUCGCAUCAACUUGGCAUGCUCUCCGUUUCUGAACAGACGUUUCAACCGUGGUAUUAUAGGAGCAUACCACAUCACCUUUGCAGGAACCCUCUUCCUGGGAGGCUCGCCGUCAACAUCACCAGGGUCAUCUCGUCUGAUCUUAUACCGCAAUGCACCGCAUACCGGGCAUGCGUUCAGAUCCUUGUAGGCACCGCGGUAGAGGAUGCAGUCAUUAGGGUAUGCAUGUAUCUUCUCCACCUCCAAUCCUAGAGGGCAUACGACCUUCUUUGCUGCGUAUGUACUGUCGGGCAAUUCGUUAUCCUUUGGAAGCUUCUUCUUCAUUAUUUUCAGUAGCUUCUCAAAUCCUUUAUCAGGCACAGCAUUCUCUGCCUUCCACUGCAGCAAUUCGAGUACGGUACCGAGCUUUGUGUUGCCAUCUUCGCAAUUGGGGUACAACCCCUUUUUGUGAUCCUCUAACAUGCGAUCGAACUUCAGCUUCUCCUUUUGACUUUCGCAUUGUGUCCUUGCAUCGACAAUGACCUGGCGGAGAUCAUCAUUAUCGGGCACAUCGUCUGGUUCCUCUUGAUCUUCAGCAGCUUCGCCCCUUGCAGCACCAUCGUGCACAUCGUCUGGUGCAUCUUGAUGUUCAGUAGCAUCACCGUAUUCAGGGGGCACAUAGUUGUCAUCGUACUCUUCUUCCUCGCCGUCUUCCAUCAUAACCCCUAUUUCUCCGUGCCUCUUCCAAACAUUAUAGUGUGGCAUGAAACCCUUGUAAAGCAGGUGGGUGUGAAGGAUUUUCCGGUCAGAGUAAGACUUCGUAUUCCCACAUAUAGGGCAUGGACAACACAUAAAACCAUUCUGCUUGUUUGCCUCAGCCACUUCGAGAAAAUCAUGCACGCCCUUAAUGUACUCGGAGGUGUGUCUUGAACCGUACAUCCAUUGCCGGUUCAUCUGCGUGCAUUAUAUAUAAUUAAGUGUGUCAAAAAUCAUUACAGAACAUCAUAAAUAGAUAAUUAAGUGACCAAAUUAAUAGAAGUUCAUCAUCACAUAAAAACCAAAGUACAUACAUAGUUCUCAUCUAACAACAUAAAGCUCUGCAGAGCAUCUAAAUUAAUUAAACCAUACAUUGAAACUAUGUAAAACAUUUCAAUGCGAAAACAAAUGUGAUCAUAAUCGCAACCAAGGUAACAACUGAUCCAACGGCAUAAUGAUACCAAGCCUCGGUAUGAAUGGCAUAUUUUCUAAUCUUUCUCAUCUUCAAGCGCAUUGCAUCCAUCUUGAUCUUGUGAUCAUCGACGACAUCCGCAACAUGCAACUCAAAUAUCAUCUUCUCCUCCUCAAGUUUUUUUAUUUUUUCCUUCAAGAAAUUGUUUUCUUCUUCAACUAAAUUUAACCUCUCGACAAUAGGGUCGGUUGGAAUUUCCGGUUCAACAACCUCCUAGAUAAAUAAAAUCUAUGUCACGUUGGUCGGCAUAAUUUUCAUAAACAAUAAAUGAACCAAUAGUUAUGAAAAGAUAAUAUAUACCACAUCCGAAUCAUAGACAGGACGAGGGCCGACAGGGGCGGAUACCAAAACCAUCGCACUAUAUAAGAUGCAAUAAUAAAAGUAAGAAAAUAAUACAAGUAUCUAUCUAAACAAACAAGUAAUAAUAUUUUUCCUUUCAGAAAGAAGAUAAGAACAAGAGGCUCACCACGGUGGUGCCGGCGAUGAGAUCGGCGCGGGUGAUCGACGGCGAUGAAGACGGGGACGGGGCGUGACGGACCGCUAAACCUAGAUAAAUAUUGAGGAAAAUGGAGCUUGGCGGUCGAGCUUGGAGAGGAGAAACCUUAAAUAGUGUGGCUCGGGCAUUCCAUCGAACACCUUGUGUGCAUAGGAGGUGAGCUAGAGCACCACCAAGCCCUCUCCCCCUCGGCCAGAAAAAACAGAGCAGUGUGCUCUGCUCUUGCGCGAGGGGCUAUAUAUAGGCAGCACCAUUGGUCCCGGUUGGUGGCAUGAACCGGGACUAAAGGUAACCCUUUGGUCCCGGUUCAUGCCACCAACCGGGACCAAUAGUGGUGGGCCAGGAGCCAGGACCAUUGGUCCCGGUUCGUCCCACCAACCGGGACCAAAAGGUCCGGACGAACCGGGACCAAUGGCCCACGUGGCCCGGCCGGCCCCCUGGGCUCACGAACCGGGGCAAAUAGCUCCAUUGGUCCCGGUUCUGGAUUGAACCGGGACUAAUGGGCUGAACUGGCCUGGGCCAUUGCCCCCUUUUCUACUAGUGCCAUGGUCCACUGUUUUGUUUUGUGAGAAAUCCAUCGGCUAUUGUUGUGUUCUUCUUAAAAAAAUAUUAGAAAAGGAGGAUCAUGCCCGACCUCUACAUCAGAGUGAUGCAUGCAACCCUUUUAUUAAGCAAAGUAUCUAAAAAGUCCGCGGUCUAGGACAUGUUGCUCGGAGCUAAAAAAAGUAAUAAAAAAAGGUAAAAGUUGGCACAACCGGUGAAAAUAGGACGAGAUGACUAAACAUCUAGCCUAUUACUGGACCGUCAUCCAAACCGAUUGUAGAUAUCCCGAAUUACCAUCUCCCAUCGGGUAGACCCAAUAACCAAAGGCUCCCUGGCUUCCGCAGGAGUGAGUAACGACCAUGUAUAGAUCCAAGUAGUGGCCCUAUAAAUAAUCUGCAAAAAGUUUAUACGAGUUUAUUUGUUAAAACCCAUAUCAUUUUUGCAGUUCCAUGUAGCCCAAAGUAAUACGCAUACUCCUAUCCGAAUAUGCCUCGAAGUAUUUAGCUCAACUCCAUUUAGCCACGUCCUAAAUAAUGUGUGAAUAUUAUUUGAAGCGGUGAUAUUAAAGGCUAUAUGAAUUGAACGCCAUAAUAGUUUAGCCAGCGGAAAAUCGAUAAAGAGGUGUUUAAUAGUUUCAUCUUGAUCAAAAAAGCAGCAUCGUUGACAAAUACGCUUUGCCAAGUAAUCCUUAGUCAGAAUCACCUCUUGUGAACAAACCACAUAAAGACUUUGAUUCUUAACGGCACUUUAAUCUUCCAAAUAUGUAUCGGUUUCAGAAUCGGACCAGAGUCAAUUAGGUGUACGUACAUAGAUUUCACCGAGAAGAUCCCGUUCAUGGUUAAUCUAUAGUGAAUAGUAUCUUGCUCAUCAGAGAGGUGAAUGUUAAUCAACCUCCGCGCCAGAUGCAACCAUGUGUCCCAUCGGUCUCCUACUAAAGAUCGCCGCAAUUCAAUGUUUAGAUAUUAACAUUCGGUCUUCUUAACUUGUAUCUUGUACUUUUGAUGGUGCAUUUUUUUUACCAAAUAUUAUUGAUAGUGGAACUAAUAUCAGAGGUACAUGUAAUAUUAUCACAUAUAUGGUGGGGAAAUACACUAUGUUCCUGGUUGUAUAUGCACCCUAUAUGGGGAUUUUUUUAAUAUUUUAAUAAAAAGUCAAAAUAGGUAAGAACUAUUUUGACAAAACACUUGACUUACCUGUGCACUAGUAUAUAAAUCUCGACGAAAAACAAACAAAAGUUGACCUCACAGCAAAAAAGACAAAAUUUAUUUGCUAUUAUAGGUCACUAUUCACACUAUUUUAGCCAAAAUUUUGUCUUUUCUGAAAAGAAGUCAAAGGGAUAUUUUUUUUGUGGAUAUUUUUUUCUCACGAGUACAAUAGAAGGUCAAGUUUAUUUCAAAAAUAUUUUCAGGAUUUUUUGACUUUUUGUUGAGUUACUAAUUUUUCCCCAUAUAGGGGGCAUAUGUCCCCAUAGACCAAAAGUUCCCCUCCCAGUGUUACUACUAAAGAAUGACCCUUUUUUGCCCCCCUCCAUUAAUGGGCCCAUUUUGACCCGUUGGAGGAAGGGGUCGUCGUUGGCGGGUCACCAAACGCCCGUCGCGUGAGACUGCAGAGGCAACCAAGGGAUGGUUGUAUAAACACGUUGCCACCACAUAUCAAGAGAGAAAGGCUAUGGGAAGCAAGAAAAGUUAAGCCUCACUAUGAUAGUUACUUGGACGGUUUGGAACGGAACAGAUGUGCGUGUCUUUCAAGGUAUUUAAGUGCUGCCAAAAAUUCUCCUUGCAAUGAUUAAAAAUGAGGCAGCAAAAUUAGUCAAGGCUGGAGCAAAGGAUUUGGGAAACAUUAUGUCGGAAGAGUACCCGUUCUAUUAAUUUAGCGUUUCAUUGUUGGCCUGUAUUUGUUUUUGGUUGCCCUUGUUCUAACUUUCCCUUAAUUAAUAGAAUGAUACAAAUAGUUUGCCUCCGUUUUAAAAGAAGGUUCAGAGCUAGCACAGUUGUAACAUCCCUCUACAUCAGUCCACUCUAGAGAGGGUCUCUGCAACCUUUUUCUCUCUGCAUCUUUGUACGACGUGAUUCGUGUCUUGACAUGGAGUGUUUGAGCGUGUUCAGCUCUCAAUAACAUAUCACUUAAAAUUGCAUGGCAAAAGAAUAUCAUACACUUGCAUGUUUUUUGCAUUUUCAUCAAUACACUAUGAAACGAUAAAAACACUGAUGGAAUAUUAUGUAGUAACACUCUUCAACAGAACAAGAUUGCCAAUAACCAAAUAUUUCAUCGAAACCAUGGUGAAGAUAUAGUGAUUCGACGGCCUGCACUUCUAGGGGAUCAACCCCGGCCCAAGUACGUUUAUCGAUCAGGACUGCACAUCUUUUUAGAUGGGCGUCAAGACGCUUUCAAAAACAAUUAUUGGCAAUGUUCGUGCGGGUGAAAGAGUGAGAACAUCGUUGCUCUAGUCUAAUUGCAACAUAUUUACUGAAGUCUUUGGAGUAUUUCUUCGAGCUAAGAUUGAUACCGCAAAGAAGGUGUUUACAAGAGAUUUCAUUGUAAUUCUUAGUCACAUGAGCUACUUUGUAUUUUCCUUGGAUCUUAGGUCCAAAUAAGUGUAUAUGUAAUUUUUAUGAGUAUGAAUACAAUGGUGUUUCUAAAAAGGAAUCUCCAUAACAACAGAAAGUAUGUAUGAGGAUGUCAGAAGUCAGAACAUCUUGUGUAUGGUUACAUGCUACAACUAUUCCUUAGAUAAACUAGUUGUGUAGAACUUCGCCCUUUUUUUGCAGAAUCUUGUAUUUUUAAUGUGACAAACGAACUAAUGCAUUGCAAUCUAAAGUAAAUCAUACCCCGUCCUAUGAAAUUUAAAGUGAAUCUACACUUGAUGACUAGAAAAAGAAACAUAAAAGUAUACAAGCAUGUGCAAGAAAAGAAGAUGAACAACUUAUCACUUGCCUCAUAUGUCAUCUAACUAAUCGAGUGGUUCGAAUAACUUUGCUUCGCCACAGUGAUGACAAAGCCAACCUUUUAUUGAAGCCCAAAAUCUGCAAUAAAGCUGCAAUUGUAGAUAUAUUAUUUGUCAAGGGAAUCCACAAAGCUGAGCUCCUGCACACAAGAGACUAAGAGAGUGGGUGAAUUAUAAAAAAACCAAGGAGGGUGAGUGAGGUGCACGAUGAAGUUAAAUAUUAGAAGUACUCCAAAAUAGUGGGGUACCAAAAUUAUAGGCCUCGUUGAUUCAAAGAAUUUUCAUAGAAAUUUGAAGGAUUAUGGUCCUUCAGAUUUUUUCCUACAUUGGUUGUUCGGUUUGUAUGAUUGAAUUCUAUAGGAAUUUUUCCUAAUGAUUCCCUUGUUCUACAUUUCAGAGAAAUUUUAGCAUCUAAUCAAACAUCUUAAAAAAUCAUUUGUUUUUAUUGUGAAACAAUCAAACCAAUCAAAAUCAUAUAGGAUUUAUACAGUCAUAACAAAUGCAAUCCUAUGUAUUUUCUAUUUCUGUGUUUUUGAAUCGUGUGAAUCAAAUUAUAUUGGCCAUAGUGUACUCCUAUAGUAAGUUUGGCAUCCGUCUUGGUCCAACAAAAUAGUGGUGUGGUCGGGAUCUCGCUGUGCGAUAUCUCUUACUCGCUCUGUAAACUAAUAUAAGACGUUUUAGAUCACUAAUUUAGUAGUCUAAAACGUCUUAUAUUAGUUUAUUGAGAGAGGAUUUUAUACCCUCCACUUGGCGGACCAAGUUUAUCACCAGUCUCGGUCGUCGACAACUAGUACUGCUCAUGCACGUGAGCAUAUAUUGGGUUUAGGCACCGCUGUCUGGUCCACUUGACCACCGUUUGCAGCGGUGAGUUUGCAUGUUAACGUUGGAUCGCCGUUGUUUUGGUCCUGCAUGGAAUGAUGGCCGGAGUAUGUAGAACCAUACAGAUUAGUACUAAUCAUAGUAAUUAAGGAGUAUAUCCACUUGGCCACCUUAUCGUUUAUCCCCAAACGGGCUACGUACUUACCCAACAUUACAAUCACCGUCGCUAAACUACCCCUUCAAUUCCGUAAUUUAGUGCAUAUAGUUUUUCUUUUUUAAAUCAAGUUUUACAAACGUUUACCAAGUUUAUUGAAAAACCCGCCUACAUCUAGAAUACAAAAUAUCUAUCAUACUGACCUACAAUAGCAAAGAUUAUUUUUUGCCCUCAAGUGAAUGCCGGUUUUUUAUUCGUGAAAAUUUAUAUACUAAUGCAAAAGGAAGUCAAGUUUAUUCUAAAAAAUCUUCUGAACUAUUUUGACUCUUUUUGUAUUUUUUUAUUUUUCCCAUAUAGGGUGUAGAUACAACCAGGAACCAAGGGGUAUUUCCCUGCUACUCCCUCCUUUUCAUAAUGUAGUGCGUGUAGAUUUUCUAAAAAGUCAACCAAACAAACUUUAACAUGAAAACUAUUUAUAUGUACAAUUCAAAUCAUACUGAAUAUUAAAAUAUAACUGAUGAUGUUUCAGUUAUAUGCAUUUGGUAUUUUAAAUGUUCAUAUUUUGCCUAUAAACAUAUUCAAAGUUUAUAAUAUUUGAUUUUUCAAAAAUCUAUAUGCACUAUGUUAUAAAACAGAGGGAGUAUAAGGGCAUCUCCAACGCUGGGCACUUGGGGAGGGCGCUAGGAAUAAAAUCCCAGCUGAUCGGCAGUUAGAGCAAGUAUAAUAGUAGGCUAUAAGUCUACUGACGUGGCAUUUUUGUCUAUGUAGUUGAGAGAGAGUGAAAAAAGUAAAGGAGUGGGCUCUUAUGCAAGAGCCCGUCUCUAUGUGUACUCCUAGGUAAAAACAUUUAAUGAGGGAAAAAAUAGAGAGAAAAUGAGGGAAAAAAACUGUAACCUUAUAGCCAACCUCAUAGUCAGCAUUAUUGUAUAAGUAAAUAAUAAUUCUAACUCUUGAUGAAAUGACAUGCUCAUAUUGCCGGCAGCUGGCUAUAGUAUUAAUCAUGCUCUUACUUAAUUAAUUCUUUGCGUGGGCCGCCGCAGCGACGCAAAACAAGGCAUCCAGUGCUAGCCUUUUUUUUCUACGAGAUGACACACGAAGCGCUGUUUCCACACAUGUUUAGCGCCAGUAGUUAGCGCUCUUUUGGAAAAACAGUGUUGGAGGCUUUUGUGCGAACUGGAAUCAUUAUGUGCCAGAGUAUUGAAAGCAAAGUAUUCCUCCGAUGGUGACCUUCUGAACUAUACGUUGAAAAAGGGUAGUUCAUAUACUUGGCAGAGUCUCUGGAGUGGAAUUUAGUCCUUUGAAAGAGGACACAUUUGGAGAGUAGGAGAUGGAUCACAGAUUAAUAUCUGGGAGGACCCUUGGAUUCCCAGCAGCCCGACCCACAGAGUUCUUACACCAAGGGGAAAUAUAGUGAUCACAAGAGUUUAUGAACUAAUUGAUUCGGAAAACAGAGUGUGGAAUGAACAAUUGCGAUUUUUUUGGCCAAUUGAUGUGGAGCGUAUUAUGAAUAUCCCUCUAGCUUUGAGAAUGAUGGAAGAUUUUGUAUCAUGGCACUUCAAUAGAAGUGGAAUUUUCUCAGUAAGAUCGGCUUACCAUGAAGGGUGGGAGCACCGGGAAAAUAUCUGGUGCUCUGGGAGCACCUAAGCUUAGGUGCUCCCGUGCGAGCUCGGCCGUUGGAUCUCAGAUCCAAGAGCUUCCAUGAAAUGAUGAAUAUUUUUGUAAAAAAGCCCUCAUAGAAUCUGAAAAAUGUGUGCAAGUACAGCAACUACAGCAACUCCUCGUAUGCCCUUGGAUCUGAGAUCCGAGGGCCCAGAAGUCCAUAUCAUGGGAGCACCUAUGUUCCCGUAUCACAAGAUACUCUCCCUGGGAGCACCAGCAUGGACAAAAGUUGAGGACGACAAACUCAUUACAAGCCUCAAGUACCAUUUGGAAAUUGCGUGUGCCAUCAAAAAUCAAAAUCCAUGUUUGGAGGACUUUGCUUGGAGCUAUUCCUUGCCGUGGUGUUUUAGGAAACAGACAUAUGAUUACAAGUUCCUAGUGUCCCCUUUGUAGUUCGGACUGUAAGAGCAUUAGGCAUGCCAUGUUUUUGUGCCCGAGGGUGCAGGAAAUUUGGUGAAUUCUUGGACUACAGGAGCUAGUGAAUGAAAUAUGCACAGUAGAGAGAGAUGGAGGUUCGGCGCUGGCCGAUCUCCUACUAUCCAAAAGUACCAUAUGUCCACUGGUGGCUGAUGUCCAGCGCAAUGAUCUUGUGUCCACAACAAUCUGAUACGCAUGGUGGGAACGGCGCAAAUACACACACGGUGAGAACAUCUAUGAGUCGGCUAGGUCGGGCCAAGCUAUAUCAACUUUAGCGCAGAACUUUUCACGAGCAAGGUUGAAGCAAACUAAAAUUAAAAAGACAUGGCUGGUCCAAGCCGCCUAAGGGCGUCAUCAAACUUAAUGUCGAUGCAGCAUUUGAUCAGGACACUGGUACAGGAGGUACGGGAGCAGUGUUGCAUGAUGAGGCCGGUUCCUUUGUGGAAGACGCAGCGACAACAAAGGCUAGAGGACUACGAGAUGGCCUCCUACUAGCGAAUGAAAUUGGUUGCAACGAAAUUUAUGUCGAAGCGGACUGUUUGGAGGUAAUCGAGAUCAUGCUGAGUAGCCGGAAUUCACUAGGACCAGCAGCGGUAAUAUAUGAAGAAUGCACUUUCUUAUCUAGCAAUUUUAUCUCUAUAGUUUUUAGCCAUUGCCCUCGGGAAGCCAAUAUGGCGGCGGAUCUGCUAGCUAAGAACUUGGAGGUGUCUCGAACAAUUGUUUGGAAAUCGAAGCCCCGGGUUUCUUAGUGGAUGUUUUAACAAACGAUGUAUCUUUAUUCUCACAUGAAAUAUAAACCGCCAUGAUACCAUUUCCCUCAAAAAAAGGUAGCGCUUAUUUAUUUUUAAAAUUUCUGUAUAAGCGUAUGGAUAAGUGCUCAUCAUUGUAGAUAGCCUAAUUAACUGAAUUAUUGGACUAACUGCAUCAAGAUCGGAUCACAUCACAUCUAUCCUGUCCCCGUCGGUCGACGACACUCUCCUCCAAUCAAAAUAUUGCCCCAACGCGCGCGCGUGUCGCACGCUGUGAAUGCGACCCGCCAAUGUCACCAACCCCCCUGCCUCCUUUGUUUUGUCAGCUAAUUUACUUCGAGCCCACACUCACGCGCACACCGCGUGUAGUAUAGGAUCGAUCGAUGCAGCUUCUCUUCCCCUCCCUUCCUAUUUAACAAGCUCUUCGCACCUCAGCAAGGGAAGCACCACUACACACGCUAGAAAUGGCGAUGGCCAGGACGACAACGACGCUCCUCCUCGCCGCCGCGGCUCUCCUCGUGGCCUCCUGCGGCGCGUGGGAGGCCAACAUCCGCAUGCCGACCUCGCUGGACCAGGCCGUGGUGGCGCCGCUGAUCCACGCGCUGCGGCCGCUGCUGGGCUCCGGCAAGCACGCCGGAGUGGCGUGCGACAGCUGGGUGCUGGGCGUGGAGGCGCACAACGUGCGGGACUGGAAGACGGUGCCCGCCAGCUGCGAGGGCUACGUCGGCCACUACAUGCUCGGCAGCCACUUCCGCCGCGACUCCAAGGUCGUCGUCGACCAGGCGCUCGCCUACGUCGACUCCCUCAAGCUCGCCGGCAACGGCAAGGAGGUGUGGGUCUUCGACAUCGACGAGACCACCCUCUCCAACCUCCCCUACUACGCCAAGCACGGCUUCGGGUACGUGCACACCAUGCUAAUUAUUGCAGGUGCAUCUGAGCAGGGAUUUUUCGUAGUAAUUGCCCCCUAUACACGGUGAUGGGCAUGUGAUUGCCCGGGUAGGACCGUAUCUGUUGACUGUUGUCCACUUGGCUACUUUAUCGAACGGUUUAUUUUUCAGCCGUCGUUAUCAACUGAUUACUAGUUGCUAUAAUUAUGUUAGAAUAAAAAAUGAGUUUAGACGGAUAAUACUUGUAAUUAUGCAAAUAUCUAACAAAUCGAGGGGUUCCAGUAACUUUGCUUCACCACAAUCAUUCAUGACAAAGCUAACCUUUUUUUUGCGGGGUAGCUAACCUUUUUUGUUGAAAGCCGAAACUCUGCAAUAAGCCUUUCUUUUAGCGGGUAAAACAUGCAUUUCUCAACUCAAAAGAUCAUUACACUCGAUCGCUGCAAUGGUAAACCUAUUUUAUCAAAGGAAUCAAGAAAUAAGCUGAGCUCUCACGAGUCACAAGCAGGGUGAGCGAGGUGCACGAUGAGGUUAAAUAUAUACAAGUUGUGUCGGAGUUGGAUCUCGCGGUAUGAUAUUGACUACUCCCUCUGUAAACUAAUAUAAAAGCGUUUAGUUCACUACUUUAGUAUUCUAAACACUCUUAUAUUAGUUUACGGAGGGAGUAAUUAAUUUAGACCUCCACUUGGCGAACUUCAUUUUUUAUCAUCAAUCACGUUCGUCCACAGAUACGUAGAGCAUUGAGUUUGGGUAAUGCUUAUCCCCUUUGGCCAUUUGGCCACUUGGACCACAAGGUUACAUACUUCGGUUUCCAUAAUUACCUUUUUUUUUUGAAUUGGUAUGCAUAUAGUACUACACUAGCUGAUAUGGUUGAGUCCGCCAUUAAUCUAUCUUCAUAUACACAUACGUGCGCAGAGCUACACCGUUCAACGCGACGAGCUUUGACGCAUAUGUGUUGGAGGGGAGCGCGCCCUCGCUGCCGGAGACGAAGCGGCUGUACAACAAGCUGCUCUCGGUCGGUGUCAAGCCGGUGUUCCUCACCGGCCGGACCGAGGACAAAAGGGCCAUCACCGUCACCAACCUCCUCCGCCAAGGCAUCUCCGGGUGGAUGAACCUGCUGCUGAAGCAGCCCGGCUUCAAGGGCUCCGCGGCGACCUACAAGUCCGGCGAGAGGCAGAAGC
This 26445-nucleotide long non-coding RNA is filed under the name Triticum aestivum (bread wheat). RNAcentral describes it as "long non-coding RNA (TAES_LNC003873)". The record is from RNAcentral. Lineage: Eukaryota; Viridiplantae; Streptophyta; Magnoliopsida; Poales; Poaceae.